GUUUGCUAGUGCCACUGAGGAAAGGCCCACAUCUGCCCACCUGCCCCUGGAGGUGACCGGGCCUUCAGAGUUCCAAGGGUCUGUUCACUGGGUUAGUUUUGCCCAUUACUUCAAGAAAACGAGAAAGGUUGAAGGAACUGGGAGUGUCCAGUGAUGGAAACUCCUUUGAGAACUUGUCCAGUAUCAAAGGCAGUAUUUAAGUGGAGUCCAGUGGGUACCAAUUAUAGAGAAGCAGAUUCAAGGAUUCCCAGCUUCUUCUGAAACUUGAAUCCAGGUGCUCGGCAGAUCAAGAGCCCUCCUGUGACACGGCUGGACACAUGGCCAGGGUUGCUCCUGGUGACCCUAAUAGGGCAGCCAAAGUGAGGCAGGCAUGGAGCCGGCUCUAGAGACCCAGGGCGCUUGGCCACAGGAAGUGGCUGGACUCCAGCCCUGGCAGGAGGCCUGCGGCACUGAACACCAGCUUCCACCAAGGCCCCAGGCUAAUUCAGUCUCUCCAUUGUGACGCCUGUGACGCUGACGGGCUGCCUCCCUGUCCCUCCCCCAGAACUGCCCUCUCUUUCACCUCCCUGCUGGUCUUAAGGACUCUCAAAGAUGUCACAUCAGUCCAAUGCCAGGCUGUCAGCAGAGGAGGUGGGGCCUAGAGCCUCUGUGGGACACGAAGACUAAUGGACAGGGACUGACAAGGGGAUGGCCCAGGCCUGUUCUCCCAGGGAGCAGCUCUGCCUCCUGUAAGGGCAGGAUCUGGGCGAAGCUCGAGAAAUCCUCCUGAGGCGCCCAAUGCGCCCGGACACGCCGUGCUGCAGCUCCGCAAGACCAAGUAAAAGUGCCUGGUGAUCUCACGGCUGUGAGACCAGCAGGAACUGCCAGACUGUGUCAUAAUGAAACUAAAGUGGUCCCCGAAUGACUUCUGGUCCAACAUGUUGGUUAACUCAA
Non-coding RNA from Ictidomys tridecemlineatus (thirteen-lined ground squirrel), 933 nucleotides. The record is from RefSeq and is a predicted model, not a curated record. NCBI's taxonomy places the organism in Eukaryota, Metazoa, Chordata, Mammalia, Rodentia, Sciuridae.